CUACGGGCGGCUGCAGUGAGGAAUUUUGCGCAAUGGGGGAAACCCUGACGCAGCAACGCCGCGUGAGCGAAGAAGGCCCUCGGGUCGUAAAGCUCUGUCAAGUGGGAAAAAGGCCUUUUGAUUAAUACCCAAAAGGUUUGAUGGUACCACUGGAGGAAGCACCGGCUAACUCCGUGCCAGCAGCCGCGGUAAUACGGAGGGUGCAAGCGUUGUUCGGAAUUACUGGGCGUAAAGGGCGUGCAGGCGGUUUGGCAAGUCAGAUGUGAAAGCCCUGGGCUUAACCCGGGAAGUGCAUUUGAAACUGCCUUUCUUGAGUAUGGGAGAGGAGAGUGGAAUUCCCAGUGUAGAGGUGAAAUGCGUAGAUAUUGGGAGGAACACCCGUGGCGAAGGCGACUCUCUGGACCAAUGCUGACGCUGAGACGCGAAAGCGUGGGGAGCAAACAGGAUUAGAUACCCGGGUAGUC
Molecule: ribosomal RNA, 464 nt
Filed under: uncultured bacterium
Lineage: Bacteria
Description: partial 16S ribosomal RNA
Rfam family: Bacterial small subunit ribosomal RNA
Source: RNAcentral